Molecule: unclassified non-coding RNA, 211 nt
Filed under: Borreliella garinii
Lineage: Bacteria; Pseudomonadati; Spirochaetota; Spirochaetia; Spirochaetales; Borreliaceae
Description: partial 5S-23S ribosomal RNA intergenic spacer
Source: RNAcentral
CUGCGAGUUCGCGGGAGAGUAAGUUAUUGCCAGGGUUUUUAUUUUAUACUUUAAACAUUGAUUUUAUUUUUUAUGUUUUUAGAUGUUCAUGUUUUUGAAUGUUUUAUUUAAAUAAUAUAAAAAAUAAAAUAUAUAUUGACAUGGAUUAAACAAAGAUAUAUAUUAUUCUAUGUUGCAUAAACAAAUUGGGAAAAUAGAGAUGGAAGAUAAA